This 406-nucleotide ribosomal RNA is filed under the name uncultured bacterium. RNAcentral's name for it is "partial 16S ribosomal RNA". It matches the Rfam family "Bacterial small subunit ribosomal RNA", at positions 30 to 526 of the family's 1533-position model. The record is from RNAcentral.
AUUGAACGCUGGCGGCAGGCCUAACACAUGCAAGUCGAGCGAGCGGCGGACGGGUGAGUAAUGUCUGGGAAACUGCCUGAUGGAGGGGGAUAACUACUGGAAGCGGUAGCUAAUACCGCAUACCAUCUGAUGUGCCCAGAUGGGAUUAGCUGGUAGGUGGGGUAACGGCUCACCUAGGCGACGAUCCCUAGCUGGUCUGAGAGGAUGACCAGCAACACUGGAACUGAGACAAGGUCCAGACUCCUAAGGAAGGCAGCAGUGGGGAAUAUUACACAAUGGGCGCAAGCCGGAUACAGCAAUGCCGCGUGUGUGAAGAAGGCCUUCGGGUUGUAAAGCACUAUCAGCGGGGAGGCGUUACCCGCAGGAGAAGCACCGGCUAACUCCGUGCCAGCGGCCGCGGUAAUUC